RNAcentral lists this ribosomal RNA (254 nucleotides) under uncultured bacterium. Its description in RNAcentral is "partial 16S ribosomal RNA". It matches the Rfam family "Bacterial small subunit ribosomal RNA", at positions 524 to 776 of the family's 1533-position model. The record is from RNAcentral.
UACGAAGGGGGCUAGCGUUGCUCGGAAUUACUGGGCGUAAAGGGCGCGUAGGCGGAUAUCUAAGUCUGGGGUGAAAGGUUCAACGCUCAACGUGAACAGUGCCUUGGAUACUGGGAGACUUGAGUCUGGGAGGGGGUAGUGGAAUUCCUGGUGUAGCGGUGAAAUGCGUAGAUAUCAGGAGGAACACCGGUGGCGAAGGCGGCUACCUGGCCUAAGACUGACGCUGAGGUGCGAAAGCGUGGGGAGCGAACGGG